This 609-nucleotide long non-coding RNA is filed under the name Equus asinus (donkey). RNAcentral's name for it is "lncRNA (ENSEASG00005024293.1)". Lineage: Eukaryota; Metazoa; Chordata; Mammalia; Perissodactyla; Equidae. The record is from RNAcentral.
UUGAAAUGAGAGAAUUAUGGAAAUGGAGAACAGAUCUGUGUCUGGCUUAAGUCAGGGAUGAGAUGGGUGCAGGAGAGGGAGGUGGGUGUGACCACAAAAGGGCAACACCAGGGGAUAGGUCUGUGGAAAUGUUCUGUAUCUUGAUUAUAGCGACAUCAGCAUCCUGGUUGUGAUAUGGUACUGUGUGAUACGGCAAGAUGUUACCAACAGGGGAAAGUGGUGAACCCAGUAAUACACCAGAUCUCUUGGGUCUCUCUAUAUUUCCUCUUACAACAGUGAAUCUACAAUUAGCUCAAAAUUAAAGUUUAUGAGAAAAAGAAAAAGGCACUGACUUCAUGGAUCUACUUACAGUUCUACCAGUGAAUAAUUAUGUGAUUUGAGGCGAAUUAACCUUGUCAGUCUUUCCACCGGUAAAAUGAGGAGAAUAUCUACUCGUGAUUGUGGAUUCAAAGUCCUGAAGGUCCAUUCUUUGGUUUCAAGAAGGCAGGACAUCAGGAACUUCCAUCAUGGGAGCAGGUUCAUUUCCAGAAAGAAAAUCCAGUCAGUUUUGCCAAAUGUGAGGAAAAGAGAAAUUGCAAAAAACAAAACAAAACAAAAAACCAAUAAAGC